UACGGAGGGUGCAAGCGUUAUCCGGAUUCACUGGGUUUAAAGGGUGCGUAGGUGGGUUGAUAAGUCAGUGGUGAAAUCCCCGAGCUUAACUUGGGAACUGCCAUUGAUACUAUUGAUCUUGAAUACCGUGGAGGUCAGCGGAAUAUGUCAUGUAGCGGUGAAAUGCUUAGAUAUGAUAUAGAACACCAAUUGCGAAGGCAGCUGGCUACGCGAAUAUUGACACUGAGGCACGAAAGCGUGGGGAUCAAACAGG
RNAcentral lists this ribosomal RNA (253 nucleotides) under uncultured bacterium. RNAcentral describes it as "partial 16S ribosomal RNA". It matches the Rfam family "Bacterial small subunit ribosomal RNA", at positions 524 to 776 of the family's 1533-position model. The record is from RNAcentral.